RNAcentral lists this microRNA (22 nucleotides) under Pristionchus pacificus. RNAcentral's name for it is "ppc-miR-8364b-5p". Lineage: Eukaryota; Metazoa; Nematoda; Chromadorea; Rhabditida; Neodiplogasteridae. The record is from miRBase by way of RNAcentral.
UCUUCAUUUCGCACACUCUCUC